AUGGCCACGCCGGCGGCGGGGAGGAGGCCCAGGGCGCGGCGGCCGUUCGCGGCGGUCGCGUCGCUGUCGGCGGCCAGGAGGCGGGUGCUGCCGAGGACGGAGGGCUCGGAGAACGUCGAGCCCCUCGACGGGAUGUCGUUCAAGGAGUGCCUCCGCCGGUUCAACAAGUUCUCCGGCGAGGCGGCGGCGGCGGCGGCGGCGGUGAAGCCCGCCUUCGUCGUCGGCACCAAGGCGGUGAUCAAGAACAGGCGGUCCUGCUCGACGCCUGGUUCCAAGAGGCCGUCGUCAUCGAGGACGCCGAGAAGGAAGAAGCUGGAACCGUCGUCUUCUAGGAAUAGCUCGACUCCCGCGCCGCCGGCGGCGGCGGCGCCGUACGAGGCGCCGCGCGCGCCGCUGUGGGACUUCUCCGACGAGCUCUGCCAGAAGAAGGUCAGGGCGAGGCUCUCGUCUCCCUGCGACGUCGCGGCGGAGGAGGAGCAGGGGCAAGGACGGCGGCGCGGGGAGGCGGCCUCGCGGAGGAGCGCGGCGUGGAGCGCGACCCUCGAGGAGGCCAUGGCCGGCAUCCCGGAGCACGGCGAGGGCCGCGUCAGGUACCUGGUGGACACGUUCGAGAGGCUCCUGUCCCUGUCCCGCGGCGACCGCGAGGCGCAGAGCGGAGGCGGCGCGGGGACGAGGAGGAGGAAGAAGGAGUCGGCCUCGGUGCCGUCGUCGCCGCGGAAGGCCGAGGAGAUCGACAUGGCGUCGUACCCCUCCGUCGCGUCGUCGUCCGACCUCUCCUACUGCAUCAUCGGCCUCCCCCGCCGCAACAGCAGGAGCAGCAGCGGUGCGCGAGACGAGCAUCAGGUCAGGAGAUGCAACAGCGCUGGCUCGUCGGAGAGGAGCUCGUGUAGGAAGGCGACGAGGCCUCAUCCGUUCAAUCUUAGGACCGAGCAAAGGGGAAGGGUGAAGGAAGGCAACUUUGUUCAGAUGAUGAGGGAGAUGCUGCUGGAGGAGGAGAGGCUGCGCAACCCGCUCGCGCAAGCUCUCCCAUGGACCACCGAAGAACCGGAGAAUCUGGCGAAACCGCCGACGAAAGAGCCCACUGAACCGUUCGAUGUCGUGCUUCAUAGCGCAGUUCGUGCUGUCGGUCGCUCCAAGUUUGAUCAUCAGAUCGCGGAGCGCAACAUCUUCCUGGAGAGGCUGGAGCUGGAGAAGGAGAGGCAGCAGAAGCUGGAUGAAGAGAUUGAGAUCAAACUGCUGAGGAAAGAGCAGGUGCCGAGGGCGCACCCAAUGCCGGAUUUCUCGAGGCCAUUCAUGCCCAAAAGGUCAGUGAAGCCCCAGACAGUUCCCAGGGAGCCAAGGUUCCACACCAGGCCGACGAGGCACAGCCCCAAGACUCGGUCAUAG
This 1386-nucleotide ribosomal RNA is filed under the name Triticum aestivum (bread wheat). RNAcentral describes it as "partial small subunit ribosomal RNA". The record is from RNAcentral. Lineage: Eukaryota; Viridiplantae; Streptophyta; Magnoliopsida; Poales; Poaceae.